UAGACCGCCUGGGGAGUACGGCCGCAAGGUUAAAACUCAAAUGAAUUGACGGGGGCCCGCACAAGCGGUGGAGCAUGUGGUUUAAUUCGAUGCAACGCGAAGAACCUUACCUGGUCUUGACAUCCACGGAAGUUUUCAGAGAUGAGAAUGUGCCUUCGGGAACCGUGAGACAGGUGCUGCAUGGCUGUCGUCAGCUCGUGUUGUGAAAUGUUGGGUUAAGUCCCGCAACGAGCGCAACCCUUAUCCUUUG
Molecule: ribosomal RNA, 250 nt
Filed under: Salmonella enterica subsp. enterica serovar Anatum
Lineage: Bacteria; Pseudomonadati; Pseudomonadota; Gammaproteobacteria; Enterobacterales; Enterobacteriaceae
Description: partial 16S ribosomal RNA
Rfam family: Bacterial small subunit ribosomal RNA
Source: RNAcentral